CCCUAUGGGGUGCAGCAGGUCAAGGAAGGUGCUUUGUGGCAGUCCUGGAUGGAUGCUGAGCGAGCCAAAUCCAAGGUGGAAAUCUACCGGGAGCUCUGAUGCCGUUGAAGGGCCUGAUGCUUUAGUGCUCAGUCAAAAGAGUUAUGCCGGGCAAGACAACAUCCCCCAACCCCCCUGGUUCAAGGGGGGAAUCAAAGGGGGACUUCAAAACCUCUCGGGCAAUGUGAUGACCUUCGCCAGAGUGCAAAAAUCAAUUUUUCAAUUGAUUCCAAACGGCUUCCACCUGGCGCCGUGUAUGCUCGAGAUCUUGGCUGUUGUCGAUGAUGAUGUGGGAAAGGGCUUUCUUGGCAUCGAUGGGGAGCUGCAUGGUGAGGGUUUUUUCAGCUUCCGGGCGGGAGAGC
This 401-nucleotide ribosomal RNA is filed under the name uncultured prokaryote. RNAcentral describes it as "partial 16S ribosomal RNA". The record is from RNAcentral.